Molecule: long non-coding RNA, 823 nt
Filed under: Phascolarctos cinereus (koala)
Lineage: Eukaryota; Metazoa; Chordata; Mammalia; Diprotodontia; Phascolarctidae
Description: lncRNA (ENSPCIG00000030940.1)
Source: RNAcentral
UAACUACUAAUUCUGUUAUCCCAAACUGAACAAGACUUAUCUGUCUUUCACAUGGAAGCCCUUCAGUCAUGAAGACAGCUAUCACGCCCACAUGCUUAAGUGCAUUCUGAAGGGUUUAGUUAUCCCUACCAUCAGCUUCCAGGGCUCCUUUGUAAUGCAGGUACAGACAGGGUCCUCUCCAGACUUAAGAGCUAAGCAAGGGCUUCCCAGAGAAGAGGAAGCUGCACAUCCAUGGAAUCUGCCCAAUACACUCAGUGGGAGACCUCUGAGGAAUUUGAGAUGGUUGAUGCCAAGCGCAAAUGGCGACCCUGGGAAGCUGGUGAGUAAAGGACUGGCUACCUGGCCCCUUGCUGAACAAACCCACCCUAUCUUCGAGUUGGGUGUUUUGUUGGAGUCUCAGCUCUGGAAAGGUUGCUGGGGCAAAGGGGUAAUCCUGAAGCCUAGAUUCUGGCCCUCUACCCUGUCUUCUCUAGGACCUCUCCUCUCUUUUCUCUCUGUAAUGUCCUUCCUCCAUUUUAUUCUCUUCUUGCUUUACCCAAGCCCUCUCCUAUCUCCAGUAACUCUAACUCUCUUCUCUCUGAUCUCACCUCCCCACCCCAUUUUUCUUACCUCCCUCAAUCUCCUCUAUUUUUACUUGAUCCCUCAAUAUUCUCUCCCAGCUCCAUAUCUCCAUGCUUCUCAUCUUUUGCCUUAUUCCAUAUAUCUUUUUCUCUCCAACUUCCCACCAGACUUUCCCUCCUUCCUUACAAUCCACCAAACUGCUCAUUUCCUCCAAACCUGGUCCAACCUAUCUUCUCUUCCAAAUGCGUAUGAUGGUGUGUAA